Molecule: transfer RNA, 72 nt
Filed under: Diaphorina citri (Asian citrus psyllid)
Lineage: Eukaryota; Metazoa; Arthropoda; Insecta; Hemiptera; Psyllidae
Rfam family: tRNA
About the family: Transfer RNA (tRNA) molecules are approximately 80 nucleotides in length. Their secondary structure includes four short double-helical elements and three loops (D, anti-codon, and T loops). Further hydrogen bonds mediate the characteristic L-shaped molecular structure. tRNAs have two regions of fundamental functional importance: the anti-codon, which is responsible for specific mRNA codon recognition, and the 3' end, to which the tRNAs corresponding amino acid is attached (by aminoacyl-tRNA synthetases). tRNAs cope with the degeneracy of the genetic code in two manners: having more than one tRNA (with a specific anti-codon) for a particular amino acid; and 'wobble' base-pairing, i.e. permitting non-standard base-pairing at the 3rd anti-codon position.
Source: Rfam by way of RNAcentral
GCCUAGUUAGCUUAGUUGGUAGUGCGUCUGCCUUGUAAGCGCUAGGCCGCGGGUUCGAUUCCCGCCGGGGUG